Molecule: ribosomal RNA, 254 nt
Filed under: uncultured bacterium
Lineage: Bacteria
Description: partial 16S ribosomal RNA
Rfam family: Bacterial small subunit ribosomal RNA
Source: RNAcentral
GACGAACCGUGCGAACGUUAUUCGGAAUCACUGGGCUUAAAGCGCGUGUAGGCGGGACGGCACGUCUGUCGCUGAAAUCCCUCGGCUUAACCGGGGAACUGCGUCUGAUACUGGAUGGCUAGAGGUUGGGAGAGGGAUGCGGAAUUCCAGGUGUAGCGGUGAAAUGCGCAGAUAUCGGGAGGAACACCAGUGGCGAAGGCGGCACUCUGGGCCGGAACUGACGCUGAGGAGCGAAAGCGUGGGGAGCGAACAGG